RNAcentral lists this ribosomal RNA (486 nucleotides) under Triticum aestivum (bread wheat). Its description in RNAcentral is "partial small subunit ribosomal RNA". The record is from RNAcentral. Lineage: Eukaryota; Viridiplantae; Streptophyta; Magnoliopsida; Poales; Poaceae.
AUGGUCUCAUGCAAACAUGUUGGCAUUAUUAUUCUUCAUUUGAGAUCUUUCGCGUGCCCGCAAUUCAAAUGUUUUUUCCACCUAUGGGGUAAUGGCAGCCCUAAUUGGAAACGUGAGUUUGCUAUUUGGAAGAAAGAGUGCGAUGCCGAAUGGAUUAUCAUCAGUUCUUCUAAGAGGCGUGCUUCUCUUAGUUUGAUUGCUAUGCAUAAGCCACCUUCCAAGUCAGCUUUGCGUUCGGGUUCUAGAUCAUCAAAGAAGAUUUCUUUUGCCACUAUUCAACAGUAUGAUGCUUUCCAGGGAUAUUCUUUUCCUACGUCCCUAGGUCUUGUUGAUGUGGUCUCUGAUGAUGGGUAUGAUGUGCUGCCUCAUGAGAGAGAUUAUGUGCCUCCGCCGCUGGUGACUGAACUCCGAUGGACGAUGGCGGAACCACCCAUCAUUUUUGAAACAGUCAACGUCCAAGCUAUUUCUUCGGCCCAGAUUCUGUGA